GUGCUCUUAGCUCAGUUGGUUAGAGCAGAUGGCUCAUAACCGUCCGGUCGUAGGUUCGAGUCCUACAGGGUACA
RNAcentral lists this transfer RNA (74 nucleotides) under Enterococcus faecalis. RNAcentral's name for it is "tRNA-Ile". It matches the Rfam family "tRNA". From Rfam's summary of the family: Transfer RNA (tRNA) molecules are approximately 80 nucleotides in length. Their secondary structure includes four short double-helical elements and three loops (D, anti-codon, and T loops). Lineage: Bacteria; Bacillati; Bacillota; Bacilli; Lactobacillales; Enterococcaceae. RNAcentral also lists the same sequence under 7 other names. The record is from RNAcentral.